CCACACGCCUGCCAACGAGCGCCCCCGCGACUCCAUCUCCCAAAAGGCUACCACCGUGGUGGGUGGCUGCAUCUAUUUCAAGACACAUGGAACCAGCAUCAUUCGCUACCAGCUCUUCGACGGGCCAGCGGCCGAUCGCCUGUCGUUCAUCGAGCUCCUGCGGUUCAACCCGUACACGGUUGAAGGCACGGUGCUCGUCCCGGCAGUUGGUGGUCGGCUCCGAUUUGCUGCAUUCGAUCCAGUCAAAAAGCACCAUCACGUCAGAUUAUGGGAGAAGGUUGUUGGUUCCGACGGAGCCCUGCAGUGGAUCCGUCAGGCGCGGUUCAAGCUCCCAGUGCCCGGCGUCCGCUUGAUGGGUUUCGUGGAGACACCCCCUUCCUUGAUCCUGACACGAAGGACCAUGGACCAAUCUGCAUCAACAUGGAGACCCGCGAGUGGAACAAGUUGCCGAAACCCAACGGUCGGUUUGAUUUGCUCCCGAUAAUGAGCUUCUACCAUCCUCUCCUUCCGGGUCAGGCACCCCGUGAGCGUGAUGAGACCUCCCCAAGCCAUGAUGAGGACGAAGCAAUCGGUUCUUCUGCUUCUAGGAUCAGAAUUUUUUCCAGAUCGGUGUUAGGUCGUCCUACUGAUAAAUGAUGACUCCAUGGAGCUGAAUAUGCAUUGUGCUACGGACAAAACUGAGAAUAGCUGCUGAAGGUGAUGGAGACGAACGGGUGCAUAAGAGGCUCAAGUGAUGUUGCAAGUGAUGUUGCAAAGUCUUCUAACUAACUUCUAAGAAGUGUUAAUGGUAAUCAUAGAGAGCUUAUCUGGAUAACUCUUGAGGAUCUAUGACUUUACUGCUCAUCAUGUUGUGCUGGUUUCAUGCUUUCUGAAUCUUCUGUAUGAGCCAUUAGCUAUAAUGUAGUAGCUUACCUGCUGGGUGUAAAGCAUAAUGGAGCUUAUCUGUAAGGUGGUGCCCAAGCAGUAUCCUACUCUCUGGGUGCUUUACGUUUCCAUCAGACUGAACGAAUAUAAUUCCUGUUAUCUGAAUGUCCUGGUGCUCAGGAAAAUGAGCGUAUGAUAUUUCAUUUGUUUCAA
Panicum hallii is the source of this 1077-nucleotide long non-coding RNA. RefSeq lists it as uncharacterized. The transcript is spliced from 3 exons. Lineage: Eukaryota; Viridiplantae; Streptophyta; Magnoliopsida; Poales; Poaceae. The record is from RefSeq and is a predicted model, not a curated record.